Diaporthe sp. PMI_573 is the source of this 99-nucleotide non-coding RNA. The record is from the annotation of a GenBank genome assembly. Lineage: Eukaryota; Fungi; Ascomycota; Sordariomycetes; Diaporthales; Diaporthaceae.
AGUCCUUCAGCUCAGUCGGUAGAGCGCCCGCCCCAAAUCACCAUUUCAUAGCUUGUAUAGACUGGCGGGAGGCCAUUGGCUCGAAUCCAAUAGGAACUG